Molecule: ribosomal RNA, 404 nt
Filed under: uncultured bacterium
Lineage: Bacteria
Description: bacterial SSU rRNA
Rfam family: Bacterial small subunit ribosomal RNA
Source: RNAcentral
UGGGGAAUAUUGGGCAAUGGGGGAAACCCUGACCCAGCAACGCCGCGUGAAGGAAGAAGGUUUUCGGAUCGUAAACUUCUAUCCUUGGUGAAGAGAAGAAGACGGUAGCCAAGAAGGAAGCACCGGCUAACUCCGUGCCAGCAGCCGCGGUAAUACGGGGGGUGCAAGCGUUGUCCGGAAUCAUUGGGCGUAAAGCGUUCGUAGGCGGUAUAUCAAGUCUGGUGUUAAAGCCCGGGGCUCAACUCCGGUUCAGCAUCGGAUACUGGUAAACUAGAAUGCGGUAGAGGUAAGGGGAAUUCCUGGUGUAGCGGUGAAAUGCGUAGAUAUCAGGAGGAACAUCGGUGGCGAAAGCGCCUUACUGGGCCGUUAUUGACGCUGAGGAACGAAAGCCGGGGGAGCAAAUG